This 423-nucleotide ribosomal RNA is filed under the name uncultured bacterium. RNAcentral describes it as "bacterial SSU rRNA". It matches the Rfam family "Bacterial small subunit ribosomal RNA", at positions 207 to 622 of the family's 1533-position model. The record is from RNAcentral.
AAGACCUUGCGCUUUUGGAGCGGCCGAUGCCUGAUUAGCUUGUUGGUAAGGUAAAAGCUUACCAAGGCUUCGAUCAGUAGCUGGUCUGAGAGGACGACCAGCCACACUGGGACUGAGACACGGCCCAGACUCCUACGGGAGGCAGCAGUGGGGAAUUUUGGACAAUGGGGGCAACCCUGAUCCAGCCAUGCCGCGUGAGUGAAGAAGGCCUUCGGGUUGUAAAGCUCUUUCAGCCGGAACGAUACGGUUACGGUUAAUACCCGUGACUACUGACGGUACCGGAAGAGGAAGCACCGGCUAACUACGUGCCAGCAGCCGCGGUAAUACGUAGGGUGCGAGCGUUAAUCGGAAUUACUGGGCGUAAAGCGUGCGCAGGUGGUUUUGUAAGUCAGAUGUGAAAGCCCCGGGCUCAACCUGGGAACU